RNAcentral lists this long non-coding RNA (382 nucleotides) under Pan troglodytes (chimpanzee). RNAcentral describes it as "lincRNA". The record is from RNAcentral. Lineage: Eukaryota; Metazoa; Chordata; Mammalia; Primates; Hominidae.
CUUUGAGUAAGUGAAAUGAAGCAUGAAUAACUGCCUAAUUAGUGGACAUGAAAACUGGACAGUCUCCAAAGUCAUCAGAGAUGACCACGCUUGCCAGGCAACUUACUAGACUAAGGGUGACGUGCCCAUCAUGCAGGAAGCUUCUCCGAGGCUGGCGAGAGCAACUUGUCUGCUUUGAGAAAUGCAGAUCUAUCAGGAUCCAGAAUCGGACUCUGAAAAAGCUGUCAUUUCAUGUCUCUAAAACAGCCUUUGAUUUAAUGUACAAGAUGUCAAGAAGUAAAGGACAAUAAAAUAAAAACCAAAAAAGGAGAACUAUUUCAAUUAAGAAGCAUUUCUAUAUCAAUUCUUGGAAAUCACAUAAAAUAAAAGCUGUCAGAAUCAA